UACGGAAGGCAGCAGUGGGGAAUAUUGCACAAUGGGCGCAAGCCUGAUGCAGCCAUGCCGCGUGUAUGAAGAAGGCCUUCGGGUUGUAAAGUACCUUCAGUCGUGAGGAAGGUGUUAAGGUUAAUAACCUUAGCAAUUGACGUUAGCGGCAGAAGAAGCACCGGCUAACUCCGUGCCAGCAGCCGCGGUAAUACGGAGGGUGCGAGCGUUAAUCGGAAUUACUGGGCGUAAAGGGCACGCAGGCGGUUAAUUAAGUUGGAUGUGAAAUCCCCGGGCUUAACCUGGGAAUGGCAUUCAAGACUGGUUAGCUAGAGUCUUGUAGAGGGGGGUAGAAUUCCAUGUGUAGCGGUGAAAUGCGUAGAGAUGUGGAGGAAUACCGGUGGCGAAGGCGGCCCCUGGGACAAAGGACUGACGCUCAUGUGCGAAAGCGUGGGGAGCAAACAGGGAUUAGAUACC
RNAcentral lists this ribosomal RNA (456 nucleotides) under uncultured bacterium. RNAcentral describes it as "bacterial SSU rRNA". It matches the Rfam family "Bacterial small subunit ribosomal RNA", at positions 340 to 786 of the family's 1533-position model. The record is from RNAcentral.